Molecule: ribosomal RNA, 479 nt
Filed under: uncultured Planctomycetota bacterium
Lineage: Bacteria; Pseudomonadati; Planctomycetota
Description: bacterial SSU rRNA
Rfam family: Bacterial small subunit ribosomal RNA
Source: RNAcentral
UUUCGCAAUGCCCGAAAGGGUGACGAAGCGACGCCGCGUGUGGGAAGAAGGCCUUCGGGUUGUAAACCACUGUCGGGAGUUAGGAAAUGUAAGGGUGCUAAUAGUAUCCUUACUUGACUAAGGCUCCGGAGGAAGCCACGGCUAACUCUGUGCCAGCAGCCGCGGUAAUACAGAGGCGGCAAGCGUUGUUCGGAAUUAUUGGGCGUAAAGGGCACGUAGGCGGCCUUGUAAGUCAGUUGUGAAAGCCUUCUGCUUAACGGAAGAACAGCAGCUGAUACUGCAAGGCUAGAGUGCGGAAGGGGAGAGUGGAACUUCUGGUGGAGCGGUGAAAUGCGUAGAUAUCAGAAGGAACACCGGCGGCGAAGGCGACUCUCUGGUCCGUAACUGACGCUGAGUGUGCGAAAGCUAGGGGAGCAAACGGGAUUAGAUACCCCGGUAGUCCUAGCCGUAAACGAUGGGCACUAAGUAGAGGGGUUUUA